GCAUAUCAAUAAGCGGAGGAAAAGAAACUAACAAGGAUUCCCCUAGUAACGGCGAGUGAAGCGGGAAGAGCUCAAAUUUGAAAGCUGGGGCCUUCGGUGUCCGCAUUGUAAUCUAGAGAGGUGUUUUCCGCGCCGGACCGCGUACAAGUUCCUUGGAACAGGACGUCAUAGAGGGUGAGAAUCCCGUACUUGACGCGGACGCCCGGUGCUUUGUGAUACACCCUCCACGAGUCGAGUUGUUUGGGAAUGCAGCUCAAAAUGGGUGGUAAAUUCCAUCUAAAGCUAAAUAUUGGGGAGAGACCGAUAGCGAACAAGUACCGUGAGGGAAAGAUGAAAAGCACUUUGGAAAGAGAGUUAAACAGUACGUGAAAUUGUCGAAAGGGAAGCGCUUGAAGUCAGACAUGCUUGCUAGGACUCAGCCUUGCUUUUGCUUGGUGCAUUUCCUGGUGAGCAGGCCAGCAUCGGUUUUGUCCGCCGGAUAAGGGUAGGAGGAACGUGGCACCUCCGGGUGUGUUAUAGCCUCCUACUGGAUACGGCGGAUGGGACCGAGGAACGCAGUGUGCCCUUGUGGCGGGCCUUCGGGUACCUUCGCACUUAGGAUGCUGGCGUAAUGGCUUUAAGCGACCCGUCUUGAAACACGGACC
Molecule: ribosomal RNA, 644 nt
Filed under: uncultured fungus
Lineage: Eukaryota; Fungi
Description: LSU rRNA
Rfam family: Eukaryotic large subunit ribosomal RNA
Source: RNAcentral